GGAGAGCCUAGCAGUGAUCCUUCACGCCUGCCACAGAGGACUGCCCCGGGAGUGCCACUAGCGUGGAGGGUGGUGAAAGAAUUUUUGAGAACUUGACACAUGCCUCCUGGAAUUUGGGGACAUCUGUGAACAUAGAAGAUUCCCACUUCUCCCCCAGAGAAUGCUGCAGGUGGAAUAAAAUAACCUACCACAGCAGGAGAGCCAUCUGGCAAAAAAACUGAGGACCUCAGUCCAACAGCCAGCAAGGAACUGAAUCCUGCCAAAAACCAUGUGACUGAACUUGGACAUGGAUCCUGUCCCAGCUGAGCCUUGAGAUAAGACUGCAGCCCCAGCUGAUAAUUGAUGGCAGCCUGUGAGAGACCCUGAGUGGAUACCCUGAUGGAAAUCCUGAGAGAUUAAGUAGAUGACUCAGUUAGGCCAUGCUAUUCCUGACCCGUAGAAACAGUGAGAUCAUAAAUGUGUGUUGCUUAAGCUAAGUUUUAUUUUUUUAAAGGUGGAAUUCAAGAUUAAAAGCAAUAAACAA
This is a long non-coding RNA of Callorhinus ursinus (northern fur seal), 523 nucleotides long. RefSeq lists it as uncharacterized. The record is from RefSeq and is a predicted model, not a curated record. NCBI's taxonomy places the organism in Eukaryota, Metazoa, Chordata, Mammalia, Carnivora, Otariidae.